UUAAAACAGACACCAAGGAACAUCUCAAUUCCACUUUAAGUGGUUACUUUAUGCUUGAAAGAAUUUAGUUCUGCUGCCUUUCUACAGUUGCAAAUUACAAAACUGUCUGCAAGAAUCUAACUUCCCCAAACUAACAAUUCAGAUUAACUAACCUUUUACGAGAGUAUAUGUAAGGUUUCUUUUAACUUGCAGCAUGAAACCAAGAGAAAAUGUUCAUGGCAUACCUGGGACAGCAGUUCUACAAGAAGGAACAAUGGGAAAACUCUCCAUAUUUGAAAAUCUCCUUAUUCAGAAUUAGGACUGCAGAGUCAUCAAAAACAGAGGGGAAAAGAGGCUUCUGAGAAAUACAGUACCUUAUUUCUUCAAAAUGCAAAGCCAAUGAUACCUAUUUUCUUUUGUAGAAGAUGUUCCCUUAUUGAUUUAAGGGUCUCCAGCAAAGAGGUCAUGGAUAACCUCCGGUCAGCAUUUUCUCUGAAAAAGUAUAUCAUCACAUGCAGUACACCUGCCAAGGCCCUACAACAAAACAACUUGUUGUCUUAAAGUAACUUAGUACAUAUCGCCUAGGAUGCUUGCCUCUUUCUCCAAAGCCACAAAGGAGACAAUGUUGUGGUAGAUGGCCAGCCCUCGCCUGACAUUAAACUGACAAGGUCUUGACUCUGGUUGUGAAGGCCAAUGAAUAGUUCUGGAGAAGUAUUUCUGCAGUGAAAAUAAAGGAUUCUUCCAGUGCUCUAAAUUAUUGACUUCUAUAAAUACUGAAAACCUUAUAAUCACUACAAAAGAGAAAAUGAAACACAUAUAUGCAAACACAGAGACAGAGAGAGUUCACCUUUUCCUCGAACUGCAAAAAUCAAAACAAACAAGGCAAAAGACAUCACAGGAAACUGUGAAAAUCUGUUUUAUACCAUAAGACUAUAUAGUCUUAGUUAAUAUUUGAUCAAUAUUUUCCUAUUUUUACCAAGAAGAAACUGUAUUGUUUUAGUAGAAGACAAGAAAUGCUUGUAUUAGUUUUAAAAAAGAUUAAAAAGAAAGAGCAAAUGAAAUUAAAAAAGAAAAACAACACUCUUUGAAGUAGUUUUUCUGUACUGAGAAUCACCUAAUUUACUGUUUCACAAAAGGCAUACAGCAAUCCAGCAAUGUGUCUUUUAGAAAAUUGAGUUCCCAGUCUAACCGCCUGCUGAUAACACAGAAUCAAGUGCUUUUCAAGUCCCUAGAGAACUGUAAUAAAUUACAUCAGGCAGAAUAAAAAGUUAUAGUACUGGGAAAGUGGUGACUGUAAACAUUUUUCAUAACCAAUAAAAUAAUGCACAACCUGGCUCAGUCCCCCUUUCUCCUGAGAUCUACACAGGUAGUACAGAUGCUUGGAGCCACAGCUGUAGCUGUGGUACUUACUAAAUAACUUAAAUUUUUAUAAUACCUGUAUAGCUGUUAAAUAAUUGUAGUUGUGGACAAACUGGCACUGCACAGGCUGGGGUAACUCUCCAUACAAGAGAAUAACCCAGUGUUUGCUGCUGUCAGUCCUGACUUAAAUAUUCAAGGCCUGACAUUAAAGUUCUG
Gallus gallus (chicken) is the source of this 1554-nucleotide long non-coding RNA. RefSeq lists it as uncharacterized. Lineage: Eukaryota; Metazoa; Chordata; Aves; Galliformes; Phasianidae. The record is from RefSeq and is a predicted model, not a curated record. The transcript is spliced from 3 exons.